UUAGUUGGUGGAGUGAUUUGUCUGGUUAAUUCCGAUAACGAACGAGACCUUAACCUGCUAAAUAGUUACGCGAAUAUUUUAUUCGUGUUGUAACUUCUUAGAGGGACUAUAGAUUUUUAAUCUAUGGAAGUUUGAGGCAAUAACAGGUCU
This 150-nucleotide ribosomal RNA is filed under the name uncultured fungus. Its description in RNAcentral is "partial small subunit ribosomal RNA". It matches the Rfam family "Eukaryotic small subunit ribosomal RNA", at positions 1294 to 1463 of the family's 1831-position model. The record is from RNAcentral. Lineage: Eukaryota; Fungi.